This 73-nucleotide transfer RNA is filed under the name Salmo salar (Atlantic salmon). It matches the Rfam family "tRNA". From Rfam's summary of the family: Transfer RNA (tRNA) molecules are approximately 80 nucleotides in length. Their secondary structure includes four short double-helical elements and three loops (D, anti-codon, and T loops). The record is from Rfam by way of RNAcentral. Lineage: Eukaryota; Metazoa; Chordata; Actinopteri; Salmoniformes; Salmonidae.
UUCCCUGUGGCUCAGUUGGUAGAGCAUGGUAUGUGCAAUGCCAGGGUUGUGGGUUCGAUUCCCAUGGGGGGCA